GUGAAAUUAAGAUAUUCAAUCUUUGUGUCUUUUAAACAUAACAAGCUUUAGGCAUUUUACA
Molecule: transfer RNA, 61 nt
Filed under: Lepidoglyphus destructor
Lineage: Eukaryota; Metazoa; Arthropoda; Arachnida; Sarcoptiformes; Glycyphagidae
Description: tRNA-Lys
Source: RNAcentral